AUGCAGCCGGACCCUAAAGGCCCCGGGAGGGAGAAGGCGCACGCUCGGCUGCCGCCGCCGGUGACGGCGCCGUCGGUGGGGCGGCCGGCGUCGGUGCUGCCGCACAAGACGGCGAACGUGCGCGACCACUACCGCAUCGGGAAGAAGCUGGGACAGGGGCAGUUCGGCACGACGUACCUGUGCGUGGACAAGGAGGACGGCGGCGAGUACGCGUGCAAGUCCAUCCCCAAGCGCAAGCUGCUGUGCCGCGAGGAUUACGAGGAUGUCUGGCGCGAGAUCCAGAUCAUGCAUCACCUGUCGGAGCACCCCAAUGUGGUUCGCAUCCGCGGCGCCUACGAGGACGCCCUCUUCGUGCACCUGGUCAUGGAGCUCUGCGCCGGCGGCGAGCUCUUCGACCGCAUCGUGGCCAAGGGGCACUACAGCGAGCGUGCCGCUGCCCAACUCAUCAGGACGAUCGUGGGGGUGGUAGAGGGGUGCCACUCGCUCGGUGUCAUGCAUCGGGACCUCAAGCCGGAGAACUUCCUCUUCGCGAGCACGGCCGAGGACGCCCCACUCAAGGCCACGGACUUUGGGCUUUCCGUCUUCUACAAGCCUGGAGAUAAAUUUGCAGAUGUUGUUGGGAGUCCCUAUUAUGUUGCACCUGAGGUGCUUCUAAAAUGCUAUGGCCCAGAAGCUGAUGUCUGGAGUGCCGGAGUAAUUCUGUACAUUUUGCUGUGUGGUGUACCUCCGUUUUGGGCAGGUAGAUUAUUUACUGUUCGAACCAUUGAACUGCUAGGUCUAGAUCUAUUAUCAUUUGCCAACAUUACCAUGUUUGAGUGGAUAAAAUCUGUUCUUCUCCUCUCAGAAAGCGAAACAGGAAUUUUCAAGCAGGUUUUGCGAGGUAAGCUUGACUUGGAAACUGAACCAUGGCCUAGUAUCUCUGAUAGUGCUAAAGAUCUAGUUCGUAAGAUGCUUAUCCGUGAUCCUACAAAGAGAGAGACUGCUCAUGAGGUUCUGUGUCAUCCAUGGAUUGUUGAUGAUUCUGUUGCACCUGACAAACCUAUUGAUUCUGCUGUUUUGUCAAGGCUGAAACACUUUUCUGCAAUGAACAAGCUGAAGAAGAUGGCAUUGAGGGGACCAAGCGUGUUUGUGUUCUUGCAGGUCAUUGCUGAAAGUCUAUCUGAGGAGGAGAUCGGUGGCUUAAAAGAAUUGUUUAAAAUGAUUGAUACUGACAAUAGUGGGACAAUAACUUAUGAAGAACUGAAGGAUGGCUUGAAAAGGGUGGGAUCCGAUCUAAUGGAACCUGAAAUCCAGUCUUUGAUGGAUGCGGCUGAUAUUGACAACAGCGGAUCCAUCGACUAUGGUGAAUUCUUAGCAGCUACAUUGCAUGUGAAUAAACUGGAGAGGGAGGAAAAUUUGGUGUCAGCAUUCGCAUUCUUUGAUAAAGAUGGAAGUGGCUUUAUAACGAUUGAUGAGCUCUCGCAAGCAUGCGAGAAAUUUGGCCUUUCUGACGUUCAUCUUGAGGAUAUGAUCAAGGAUGUGGAUCAAAAUAAUGAUGGACAAAUUGAUUACAGUGAGUUUGCGGCUAUGAUGAGAAAGGGUAAUGCUGGUGGCUCCAGUGGGACCAGUGGGGCUGUUGGGGCAGGAAGGAGAACCAUGAGGAACAGCCUGCAUGUGAAUCUGGGCGAAAUAUUGAGGCCCGGUGGAUCCACCUAA
Molecule: ribosomal RNA, 1695 nt
Filed under: Triticum aestivum (bread wheat)
Lineage: Eukaryota; Viridiplantae; Streptophyta; Magnoliopsida; Poales; Poaceae
Description: partial small subunit ribosomal RNA
Source: RNAcentral